GGGUAAGGACGGUGCCAGCCGCCGCGGUAAUACCGGCGCCUCAAGUGGUAGUCGCUUUUAUUGGGCCUAAAACGUCCGUAGCCGGUUUGAUACAUUCGUGGGUAAAUCAACCAGCUCAACUGGUUGAAUUCUGCGAGGACGGCCAGACUUGGGACCGGGAGAGGUGUGGGGUACGCUCAGGGUAGGGGUAAAAUCCUGUCAUCCUGAGCGGACCACCUGUUGCGAAGGCGCCACACUAGAACGGAUCCGACGGUCAGGGACGAAGCCUAGGGGCACGAACCGGAUUAGAUACCCGGGUAGUCCUAGGUGUAAACGCUGUGGACUUGAUGUUGGGGGUGCUCCGAGCACUCUCAGUGUCGAAGCGAAGGUGAUAAGUCCACUGCCUGGGAAGUACGGUCGCAAGGCUGAAACUUAAAGGA
RNAcentral lists this ribosomal RNA (419 nucleotides) under uncultured archaeon. Its description in RNAcentral is "bacterial SSU rRNA". It matches the Rfam family "Archaeal small subunit ribosomal RNA", at positions 444 to 863 of the family's 1478-position model. The record is from RNAcentral.